RNAcentral lists this ribosomal RNA (399 nucleotides) under uncultured bacterium. RNAcentral describes it as "bacterial SSU rRNA". It matches the Rfam family "Bacterial small subunit ribosomal RNA", at positions 358 to 773 of the family's 1533-position model. The record is from RNAcentral.
GGGAUAUUGCACAAUGGGGGAAAGCCUGAUGCAGCGACGCCGCGUGAGCGAAGAAGUAUUUCGGUAUGUAAAGCUCUAUCAGCAGGGAAGAAAAAUGACGGUACCAGAGUAAGAAGCAACGGCUAAAUACGUGCCAGCAGCCGCGGUAAUACGUAUGGUGCAAGCGUUAUCCGGAUUUACUGGGUGUAAAGGGAGCGCAGGCGGUGCGGCAAGUCUGAUGUGAAAGCCCGGGGCUCAACCCCGGGACUGCAUUGGAAACUACCGAACUAGGGUGUCGGAGAGGUAAGUGGAAUUCCUAGUGUAGCGGUGAAAUGCGAAGAUAUUAGGAGGAAAACCAGUGGCGAAGGCGGCUUACUGGACGAUAACUGACGCUGAGGCUCGAAAGCGUGGGGAGCAAAC